This 239-nucleotide ribosomal RNA is filed under the name uncultured Lactobacillus sp. RNAcentral describes it as "partial 16S ribosomal RNA". It matches the Rfam family "Bacterial small subunit ribosomal RNA", at positions 122 to 355 of the family's 1533-position model. Lineage: Bacteria; Bacillati; Bacillota; Bacilli; Lactobacillales; Lactobacillaceae. The record is from RNAcentral.
UAACCUGCCCAAGAGAUCGGGAUAACACCUGGAAACAGAUGCUAAUACCGGAUAACAACAGAUGAUGCCUAUCAACUGUUUAAAAGAUGGUUCUGCUAUCACUCUUGGAUGGACCUGCGGUGCAUUAGCUAGUUGGUAGGGUAACGGCCUACCAAGGCGAUGAUGCAUAGCCGAGUUGAGAGACUGAUCGGCCACAUUGGGACUGAGACACGGCCCAAACUCCACGGGAGGCAGCAGCC